GAGCGCCCCCAAGGGGAGCGGCAGACGGGAGAGUAACACGUGGCAACGUGCCCUUCAGUUCGGAACAACCCAGGGAAACUUGGGCUAAUACCGAAUACGUCCGUAAGGAGAAAGAUUUAUCGCUGAAGGAUCGGCCCGCGUCUGAUUAGCUUGUUGGUGAGGUAACGGCUCACCAAGGCGACGAUCAGUAGCUGGUCUGAGAGGAUGAUCAGCCUCACUGGGACUGAGACACGGCCCAGACUCCUACGGGAGGCAGCAGUGGGGAAUAUUGGACAAUGGGCGCAAGCCUGAUCCAGCCAUGCCGCGUGGAUGAUGAAGGCCCUACGGUUGUAAAGUCCUUUCGGCGGGGAAGAUAAUGACGGUACCCGCAGAAGAAGCCCCGGCUAACUUCGUGCCAGCAGCCGCGGUAAU
This 411-nucleotide ribosomal RNA is filed under the name uncultured bacterium. RNAcentral describes it as "bacterial SSU rRNA". It matches the Rfam family "Bacterial small subunit ribosomal RNA", at positions 64 to 524 of the family's 1533-position model. The record is from RNAcentral.